This 404-nucleotide ribosomal RNA is filed under the name uncultured bacterium. Its description in RNAcentral is "partial 16S ribosomal RNA". It matches the Rfam family "Bacterial small subunit ribosomal RNA", at positions 28 to 526 of the family's 1533-position model. The record is from RNAcentral.
GACGAACGCUGGCGGCGUGCUUAACACAUGCAAGUCGAGCGGAGCGGCGAACGGGUGAGUAACGCGUGAGUAACUGCCCCCCUCUCUGGGAUAACAGUUGGAAACGGCUGCUAUUACCGGCUAGUGGGGGAUGAUUCGCGUCCUAUCAGCUUGUUGGUGGGGUAUUGGCCUACCAAGGCGUCGUCUGUUAGCCGGCCUGGGAGGGCGACCGGCCAAAUUGGGCUGAGAUACGGCCCAAACUCCUACGGGAGGCAGCAGUGGGGAAUAUUGCACAAUGGGGGAAACCCUGAUGCAGCAACGCGCGUGCGGGAUGACGGCCUUCGGGUUGUAAACCGCUUUCAGCCAUGACGCGGUAGUGGCAGAAGAAGCACCGGCUAACUACGUGCCAGCAGCCGCGGUAAUUC